This 361-nucleotide transfer-messenger RNA is filed under the name Campylobacteraceae. RNAcentral describes it as "Campylobacter_B sp012519705 Standard tmRNA". It matches the Rfam family "transfer-messenger RNA". From Rfam's summary of the family: Bacterial tmRNA, also known as 10Sa RNA or SsrA, is named for its dual tRNA and mRNA-like properties. Its role is to liberate the mRNA from a stalled ribosome. To accomplish this part of the tmRNA is used as a reading frame that ends in a translation stop signal. Lineage: Bacteria; Pseudomonadati; Campylobacterota; Epsilonproteobacteria; Campylobacterales. RNAcentral also lists the same sequence under 1 other name. The record is from RNAcentral.
GGGGGUGACUUGGCUUCGACAGGAGUAGAGUGGUCACGGUGGCAUGUCGCUUUGAGCAAAGCGUUAAAAGCUCAACUUAAAAUUAAACGCAAAUAACGUUAAUUUCGCUCCUGCUUACGCUAAAGUAGCGUAAGUUCAGUUGAGCCUUGCUUCUGCUGAUGCUAUUUAGGCAGGUCGGCGAGUAAUUUAGAUAGCUUAGUUUUCUAGUCUGACGAACUAGGAGAUGAAACUCUAGUCUUAGUUUAAGAACAUGGUUUUUGGGAAAUGAGCCAUCUUAAAUGAAGUUUUCAUUUUCGCUAAGCAUGUAGAGGCUUUGGUCUUUUGCUUUUGGACUGCGGUUCGACCCCGCACACCUCCACCA